Long non-coding RNA from Otolemur garnettii (small-eared galago), 2283 nucleotides. RefSeq lists it as uncharacterized. The record is from RefSeq and is a predicted model, not a curated record. The transcript has 4 exons. Lineage: Eukaryota; Metazoa; Chordata; Mammalia; Primates; Galagidae.
GAUGGUGCAAGCUUGAAGAGCAGGUGCCUUCAAACCAGACCUCCAAGGAGGAGCAGACUCCCGUCAGGGCCGGGGCUCUGGGGAGGGGGGCAGGAUGGCAGUGGCUAAGGGCAAUCCAAACAUCAUUUCUAAAAGUUAAAAAUAGGACUUUCUAACAACACAGAGCGAAUGCUUGUCAAAGAUUAACCUACCUCGCUGCACAGGGAACUGGCAGGAUAGUGAACCCAACUCAAAGGAGAAUUUGAGGAGCAGAUGCUGGUGUGGCAAGCCAGGAAAAGUGGGUUGAAAUGAGGCUGCUACAUGAAAGACAAACCUGGUUAGUGUCCUCCAGGGCAGGAAAGUCACAGCCUGUGGGGAUACCUUCUUUACCAGAGAGAAGUCAUUUGCAUCUCCGCUGGGCUGAAAUCUACCACUUGACAAGCAGUUUCAGAGUCUGAGCCCUAAUCAAUAGGAAAAAGCAAGGCAACCAGAGGCACAUCCUCAAAGAAUUAACUCGGGGGGGUGUGUGGGCUCUUUGUAGCCCGCUGUGGUGGUGAAAGUCAUCCUUUUGCCUGUUUCCAAGGUGUGAAUUGUUUAAAAACUCCUGCAUAUUCCGGAGGCCGUGCUGUGUUCACAUCCCACCUUUGUACCGCUGGGGCCCUGGGAACGCACCACCCCCAGGUGGAGUGUGGGCUUCUCACUGAGGGCUGGGACAUCAUCUUGCACACAGCACAGGUGUGCCCUGAAGGCUGAGUGAGUCUACACAUCAAGUCCUGGCCCAGCCACACUCAAUAAGGGUCACUGAUAAUUAUAGCGCCAUAUGAAUAUUAAUGUAGGAAAGUCCCCAAAUCACAAAGACUUUAAAUAGCUGCUGGGUUGGAGCCAAAGCCACAGACAGGGGAGGGCCAUGGAAGGCAGUGGUUCCCAUUUACAGACGGAUGGAUAAAAACUCUGGGCUGGCCUGGGAAGCAGCCUGAAUUCCCAUUUCAGACCCUGGACCUCGGGCAAUCCUGGACAGACGGCUGCCCCCGUGCCCAGGGCAUUCUGGACUCAGAAUGGCAGGUCAGCUCCCCUGGCAUUCUCUUGCUGACCCAAGUUUCCACCUUCCAAUUUCCCCCUCAGCUUCCUGAGCCCCGGUGCUCUUAGCCACCAACGGCUGAGACAGGAAGGCAGCCCACCUGUGCCAAGCAGCCCAGCCUCUCCUAGGAUCCUACCGGCCCACCCCUCUGAGUGGCCCUACCUGCCGCUUCAGACACAGAAUGCUGAGGACCGCUGCAGAGAUGGCCUGGGCUCCAGGCAGGGCUCGGCUCUCACCUGCAGAUCAGAUGACACCCAGUAACUUGGAGGCCCCUGAGAAGCAACCAGCCAGCCCCAGAACGGGCUUGUGUCCACCCUCCUCUCCUGGGAGAUCACUUCUCACUCCUGGGCAAUUGGCACCCCAGCCCUCGCCCACCCCACGCCUUGUCCCCACACUCCUAGGCCUGGAGACUCCAGCAAGGAAGGAAGUUGUGGCCUCCUCCUGGGAGCCCCUUCCUGACUCUGAAGCCCCUGGUUCACGUCUGCAGAAGGGACAAGGCGCCUGCCUGGGCUCUGGUGUGGGCUCCCUGGGGUUGGGGAUGAUGGCCCCCGCUGUCUGUGGUGACAGUGCAGGGUGCUGAGCCGUGACCGCACUUGCGUGCUCUGGUGGAACACGCGGCCCACAGUCUGCUUGAGGGGACACAGGACCACUGGGGCCUCACUCUACACUCGGCACCGUGGGCUCCUGUCUGCUCCUGCCGGAGCCCCUGAGUGAUGACAUCUGCUGGGCUGAUGUCUUCUUAGGUAAAUACGCUCUUUGUCUUGCCCCAGCUUUCUUCUUCAUGAAUUUUUAAAGUACACUGAGAUCUUCAAACAGUGGCUGCCCUUCCGGGCAAACAGAUCCAGAACUUGGCCGUGGAAGCUGGUCCUGGCUUUCCUUUCCUGGGGGUGUCAGGGCGCGAGUUCCUCUCCAUUCCUGGACUGGACCCUUCUGAGCAUUCUCUGGGUGCGAAGUUCCCCAAGAUGCCUGACGAGUUCUGACUCCUUUGAGAUAACCAUCACUGGGGCUGUGUUGACCGUGUCACAUGGUGCCAACCUGGCGUUUUCAACAUUCUGGAGAACUGCUUUUGUCCACUGAAAAGAUGAUUCCAGAGUCACUUAGGAACUUCUGUGUUUAAAAUUAUGAUUUGAUUUGUUAAAAUCACACAUCAAAAAAUAACUUCUUUAUCCCCUUUGGAUUCAACUUUGAUUAAUGUUUGAUCCCCAUUACAAACUUAGAACAUUAAA